This is a long non-coding RNA of Mus musculus (house mouse), 3885 nucleotides long. RefSeq annotates it as predicted gene, 52735. The transcript is spliced from 2 exons. Lineage: Eukaryota; Metazoa; Chordata; Mammalia; Rodentia; Muridae. The record is from RefSeq and is a predicted model, not a curated record.
UUUUUUUUUUUUUUUAAGAAAAGAAUUAAAACAAUGGUUGCCACUGAUCUUCACUUAGGUCUGGGAGUCGGCAUUGAGACAACAGUUACUGAAUUAUAAGACUAUGUAUGAGCUGUGGCUAUGGCUCGGUCAGUUAAGUGUUUUUAGUGCAAGCCUGAGGAGCUGAGCGCUGAACCCCUUACUCACAUACAAAUGGAGGUAUGGUGGCAGAGGCCUGUAUUCUCCAUGCUGGAGAUGUGGAGACAGGAAGCUCCCAGGAGCUUGCUGGUGAAUCAAUUCUAUCUAGGCUCAGUGAGAGAGAGUGUCCAAAAGUAAGACAGAGAGAGCUCAAGGAGCAGACCCAGAGCUUACGUGCUCACGCUUUGUUAGUCUUUCCAGAGGACUUAAAGUCUUUAAUCCAAGCACGCCGCUUCUUUUCCUUUUCCUUUCAUUUACUUUAAAGUGGGGGCAUUUGUUGAGAUGCCAUAGGGCAGGGAGUAAGAGAAAGCUGGAAUUACACUGAGGUCAUUUUGGGUCUAUUACACAUGGGAGCCAACCAGAAGGACUGUUUAUAGCAGGUAAUGGCUAUCCAGGAAGAUAAAAAAGAGGGCAUGACGUAGGCAACAUGGCAGAGAGUAACCACUGAGCUAGUAGGAAAUUCAGAGGACAUCCUGCAUAAAGAUGACUCCUAACAAGGUUUUGCUUGGUUUUAUGACAAGUAAUAAAAUAGUGAAUGCUAAUUUUUGUCUGUUUCUCAGACUCUGACCAGGGAUAAUAGGUUUUGUUUCCAUUCUUAACGAUCACACUUGCCUUUCUUUUUCUGUUCAUGAAUAUUCACGCUGAGAUUCCUUACCACCAUGCCUCUAACUGUACCUGUCUCUCUAGAUCAGUCUGCUAAAGAUUCAAGAGCUGUAAGCAGCUGCUGGAAGGAAGUGGGUUCUGGUCUGUGGCACAGGCGCAUUGACACACGCACAGGGAGGUGGAGAUGGGGCCCAAAGGAAAGGGCAAAACCUGGUGAGGUCUGAGAGCAGGCAAGAUCUGCACCCAUUUCAGGGAAGGAGAAACUCCUGUAUUUUCCUUAAAAGAUAGUGAAAUUAGGGCACCUGGAAUUGUAGGGGAGGAAAAUGUUACUAUGUGGCGGAAAGUAUAUUUGGUUUGGGAAUGAACUGAGUUUUGGUUCAAUUUUCUCUAAUUCCAAUUUCAUCUGUAAAAUGUGGGAUACUACCAGCAGAUCCUUGCUUCAGGCUCCUUGGGGGUUAGAAAGGAUUAGUCAAAUGCAAAUGAUCUACCCAGCUCCUGAGUGGAUGAAGUGUCUUCCUCUAUUCCUCUAGCAUGUGUGUGCAGAGGACAUGAGAGACAACAUUAAGCAGUGCGCUGCAGACUUCAUCCCGAUCUUAUUAUUUAUUGUUUGGUUGGGAAAGUUUUCAAAACUUGCUCAACCAUAGUUAUUUCAUAGUUUCCACAGGGACGAUAUGGCAGCAACUUUAUAGACCUCACUCGAAGAAGAAACAAGCUAGUUUAUAUAGAGUGCUUGUAGAAUAUGUGGUUUGGAGUACGUGCUUUUAAUGACCACUACUGAUGUCAAAUGGUUAAUAGAGCUUGCGGCUCUUGCAGAGACACUUUAUUGGGUUCCAAACAUGCAUAUCAAGUGGUCUACAGUCAGUGUCCUGUAACUCUUCUUCCACAGUAUAGAUACUGUGUUGUCUUCUGCCUCUGAGAGUACCUGCCCACAUGCACACAUGUAUACAUACAGACAUAUAUUUAGGCACACAUACACAUAAGAUAAAUGGAAAUGAUUAAAAAUAGCACUUUUAAAAUUAAAUCUCUCUCUGUCUCUGUGUGUGUGUCUAGAGGUCAGUGGUCAAUGUCUGGUAUCUUCUUUAAUUGCUCUCUACCUUACUUUUGAGACAAUCUUUGACUGAACCUGGAGCUAGCUGACUGUCUAGACUGUCCAGCCAGUAAGUCUUCGAGACCUUCCUGUUUCAGCAUCCCCAGAGCCAAGGGAUUGAUGAUAAGCCCUUGCCUGAUCUUUCCAUGUGGAUGUUGGAGAUCAAACUGCUCCUCAUAUUCUCCAGGCAGACACUUCACCAACUGAACCAUCUCUCAAACCCCUGUGAUGACUUUUAGCAGGAAUGGAGUGGUGAAGGACUGAGGAGAGACCAAAAGAGAAUAAGACGCGUUAGCACCUCAGCAAAUGCUGCUGAUUUGAGACUCAAGAGCCCGAUGAGCAAGAGAAGGAUUUACACGGGAAAUGGAGUUUUCAUAUUCCCGUGUGCACGAGUCACCCAGUGAACCAGAACUCAGUUUCUUGUUUGAUUUAGUCUGGAGGGACCCAGAGAUGCUGCCACCAGUAACAAGAUCUCAGGCAGCACAGAUAGACGACGCCAUGGAUCGUACAGGCAAUGGACGGAUGGGAUUUGACGACUCACUCAGUGGUCAUGAGUGAAAAGAGGCACAAAGUGUUUGUUUGUUUUGUUGUUUUGUUGUUUUUUUUUUUCAAGGAACUAAAUCAGGAAGAAAAAUAAUGAGUUUGCCUGCCCGGGUUUCAUUUUCUGAACUGGGCAUUAUGGGAUGUAGAAGAGCAUAAUGAUAAGAGGUUAGAUUCAUUUCAGAAGAUCACAGCUUUUGUACAAUUACUAGAAAGAUGACUCUGGAGUUUAGCUUUUGCUCUCCAGUCUUUAAAUGAGAAGCUACAGAGGCUAGGCCACAAGACUGCUGCAGAGAUUAAUGGAGAUACUUUGUUGGGAAUAAAAAUCCUCUCUUUUGCAGGGCAGUGGUGGCACACCCCUUUAAUCCCAGCAUUUGGGAGGCAGAGGUAGGUGGAUUUCUGAGUUUGGUCUACAGAGUGAGUUCCAGAACAGUCAGGGCUAUAAGAGAAACCCUGUCUCAGAAAAAAAAAAUCCUCUCUGUAGAUCUCACAGAACGUAAAGAGUACCACAGCUCUUGGUGAGGCCCAUGUGGGAUUUUUUUUAUAUACGACUUUUCUCUCAGGGUGCACUGAUACCUCAGACGAUUCUGUAUUUUGACAGCCUUCUGAACUUUGUGUUUUCUAAUUAUUCAUUAGCUGACAUAAUUUCAGGGGACUUGAGAGCCAGAAUUGGCAGCAGUUCCACUAGGGCAGCCUCCAUUAGGAAACUGCAAUAGUUAGAUUCUUCCUUUUAAGGUACUUCUCCAGGAACGACCAUCUGAAUUAAAGAGGGAAAUAUCUGGUCAAGCUCACUUAUAAUCACAGUCUAAUGAAGGCAAAUGGCAGGCUGGGGGACAACCUCUGAGCUCUCCCUUACAUUUUCAACCAGUGGCAGCAUCCAGCUGAUUUGUAGAAUUAGCUCUUCGGAGCUUACCUUCAUCUUUGUGUUGAAUAUAAACUGACUGGUUGAGAGUAAACAUUUUCCCUUAAGCUUGAUCUGAACUUUCAAAAUUGUCCUUGCCUCUGUCCCCAGUGUAACUUUCUGGUGUAUAUGUGGUGUUGGGGAUUGAACCCAAAGGCCCCACACACGCCAGGCAAGGGCUCAAUCACUGAACUACACUCUCCCCCACAUCUGCCCCUGUAUGUAAUUAAGUCUGUGAGAUUUUAGAGAUAAGGUUAAACUGAAAGGAACACAUUUAUUACCUACAAAAAUUUAUGGAAACAUAUUUUAUUCUGAAGGCUUCACUAAUAACUCUUUACAGUCCUAACAAAUGGUGAUUAUACUACCAUGCCGCUGGACUAUCCAAGAACAACCUUUUAUCUCUUGCUUCAUAAAAGAGAUCAGAAAGCAACAAAAAUAAAUAAAUAAAUCCCAGGCCAUAUUAUCAAGAUGUUAUCCCAGAUACAACAGAGAUCAAGACAUCUAAGGACUCAUUAAGUUAUAACUGUUUCAAAAAAACAACUCAUCUUUUCCCAAAAUUAAAUUACAUAAAAUAUUA